RNAcentral lists this ribosomal RNA (1568 nucleotides) under Parabacteroides distasonis. Its description in RNAcentral is "bacterial LSU rRNA". It matches the Rfam family "Bacterial large subunit ribosomal RNA", at positions 405 to 1981 of the family's 2925-position model. Lineage: Bacteria; Pseudomonadati; Bacteroidota; Bacteroidia; Bacteroidales; Tannerellaceae. The record is from RNAcentral.
AUCCUGAGUAGCGCGGGGCACGAGAAAUCUUGCGUGAAACAGCGGGGCCCAUCCCGUAAGGCUAAAUACUCCCGAGAGACCGAUAGCGAACCAGUACCGUGAGGGAAAGGUGAAAAGAACCCCGAGCAGGGGAGUGAAAUAGACCCUGAACCCGUCUGCCUACAAGCGGUCGGAGCGUCGUAAUGACGUGACGGCGUGCCUUUUGCAUAAUGAACCUACGAGUUACCUUCCCCGGCAAGGUUAAGUUCUUGAGGAACGGAGCCGAAGCGAAAGCGAGUCUGAACAGGGCGCCAAGUCGGGGGGGGUAGACGCGAAACCGAGUGAUCUACCCUUGGCCAGGUUGAAGGUUGGGUAACACCAACUGGAGGACCGGAUGGGUAAGCGUUGAAAAGCUUUCCAAUGAGCUGAGGGUAGGGGUGAAAGGCUAAUCAAACUCGGAGAUAGCUCGUACUCCCCGAAAUGCAUUUAGGUGCAGCCUCUUUAUAGUAUAUCGUGAGGUAGAGCGACUGAUUGGAUGCGAGGGCUUCACCGCCUAUCAAGUCCAGAUAAACUCCGAAUGCGCGAUAUAUAUUUACAGGGAGUGAGGGCGCGGGUGCUAAGGUCCGUGUCCGAGAGGAGAAGAAUCCAGACCACCGGCUAAGGCCCCCAAAUGAUCGUUAAGUUGAACUAACGAGGUCGGAUCGCAGAGACAGCUAGGAUGUUGGCUUGGAAGCAGCCAUUCAUUUAAAGAGUGCGUAACAGCUCACUAGUCGAGCGAUCUGGCGUGGAUAAUAAUCGGGCAUAAACGAUCUGCCGAAGCCGUGGAUGUCGCAAGACAUGGUAGGGGAGCAUUCCAUGCCGCGUCGAAGAUGAGGGAUGACCCUUGUUGGAGCGCAUGGAAAAGCAAAUGUAGGUAUGAGUAACGAUAAGGGGGGCGAGAAACCCCCCCGCCGAAAGACCAAGGUUUCCUGAUCAACGCUAAUCGGAUCAGGGUGAGUCGGGACCUAAGGCAAAGCCGAACGGCGCCGCCGAUGGAAGAAUGGGUUAAUAUUCCCAUACUGCCUCAUGGAGUGACGUGGAGACGGAGAAGUGACAGUCCUGCCGGCUGACGGAAUAGCCGGUUGAAGGGUGUAGAUAUUGAUUCCCGUAGGCAAAUCCGCGGGGAGAGUCGAACCUGAGAGUAUACGGAGCGCUUGCGCAACGUAAUAUGGACGUAACCAUGCUCCCGAGAAAAUCCGCUAAACUUAUCCAUGCGGCACCCGUACCGUAAACGGACACACGUGGUCGGGUUGAGAAUACUGAGGCGCUCGAGUGAUUCACGGUUAAGGAACUAGGCAAAUUGACCCUGUAACUUCGGGAUAAAGGGUCCUCGUCGUAAGGCGAGGCGCAGAGAAUAGGUCCAGGCAACUGUUUAACAAAAACACAUGGCUGUGCUAAAUGGAAACAUGAUGUAUACAGCCUGACACCUGCCCGGUGCUGGAAGGUUAAGAGGAGAUGUCAUCGCAAGAGAAGCGUUGAAUUGAAGCCCCAGUAAACGGCGGCCGUAACUAUAACGGUCCUAAGGUAGCGAAAUUCCUUGUCGGGUAAGU